RNAcentral lists this ribosomal RNA (525 nucleotides) under uncultured Actinomycetales bacterium. Its description in RNAcentral is "bacterial SSU rRNA". It matches the Rfam family "Bacterial small subunit ribosomal RNA", at positions 64 to 621 of the family's 1533-position model. Lineage: Bacteria; Bacillati; Actinomycetota; Actinomycetes; Actinomycetales. The record is from RNAcentral.
GAACGAGAAAGUGGAGCAAUCCAUGAGUACUGUGGCGACCGGGUGAGUAACACGUGACCAACCUGCCCUCGAGUGGGGAAUAACUCCGGGAAACCGGAGCUAAUACCGCAUAACAUCGCAAGAUCAAAGCAGCAAUGCGCUUGAGGAGGGGGUCGCGGCUGAUUAGCUAGUUGGCGGGGUAAUGGCCCACCAAGGCGAAGAUCGGUAUCCGGCCUGAGAGGGCGCACGGACACACUGGAACUGAAACACGGUCCAGACUCCUACGGGAGGCAGCAGUGGGGAAUUUUGCGCAAUGGGGGAAACCCUGACGCAGCAACGCCGCGUGGAGGAUGAAGUCCCUUGGGACGUAAACUCCUUUCGACCCGGACGAUACUGACGGUACGGGUGGAAGAAGCACCGGCUAACUCUGUGCCAGCAGCCGCGGUAAUACAGAGGGUGCGAGCGUUGUUCGGAAUUAUUGGGCGUAAAGGGCGCGUAGGCGGUUGGGUAAGUCACUUGUGAAAUCUCCUGGCUCAACUGGGAGCU